This is a long non-coding RNA of Neopsephotus bourkii (Bourke's parrot), 2967 nucleotides long. RefSeq lists it as uncharacterized. The record is from RefSeq and is a predicted model, not a curated record. NCBI's taxonomy places the organism in Eukaryota, Metazoa, Chordata, Aves, Psittaciformes, Psittacidae. The transcript is spliced from 3 exons.
UUUCAGACAGGUGAAUGAUCUUCUUUUCAACUCUGCUUGGAAGAUUGCCUUUGGCUGCAUGGAAUUAUGCUUCUAGUAUCAAUAGAGGAACAACAGGUAAGUGACCUGCCCAUGUGCCAGUAGAAAAAUCACUUCUAUGCCCUCAAAACAGCUCUCAAAGCCUGUCUAAUACUGCCAGCAGAAGUCUCUUGUAGGAGACCAUGCAAGGUUUGAGGCAAUAGAAAGCUGUUGGCUGGAGUCUGUCUUAUAACUUCUUUUGCAUAUAUCUCCAAACUUCUUUCUUUCCUAUAUAUCCGCAAACUUCUUUCAUCUUUGUGUGGCUGAAAAUAGAGCUAUUUUUCAUGCUUACCCGUCUAAUGUCAGUAUACUUGAAGAAUGGAAUGUAAUGUAGGAGGGAGACAUCAACUUGUUCUUGUACUCAGUUUUAGUUGAAUUGAUUUUGCAGAGGAGGAAAGUUGCGUACGUAGUCCUCCUCCCCAUUCCAGGUUUCUUUGUGAUACAUUCACCUCCAGCCCUUUCCCCCACAUCCCUUUGAAAAGUACUGUGUAUUUAGUUCUCAAAACCCUUAGCAAUAAUGCAGGUAUACGACGUAGCUUGAGUAAAUUUGAGAAAGGCUCUAUAAUUUCAACAGUCAUGUAGCUCCUCCUUGUAAUGAAGUUCCUUGCUCCAUGUUAACGCAGUUUUCGCUGUCUUUACUGUUGCUGUACAACACACUUCAGUCAUGAAAAAGAAAUGUUCUCUAUGGAUUGCAGAAUUUUCUUCUUGAUCCUUAUUUUUUUUUUUUUUCUGUUCCUGUGAUCUCUUUCCUCUCAGUUCUAGGUUUGAGAUCUGCUUUACUUAAUGUAAAAUGCCUGGCAAGAGCAGACUGAACAGAAACUAACAAGAUAGACUUCUGAUCAAUCAUGUUACAAAAAGAAGAGUAAUCAAACUAGAAAAGGAACAGAGGAAGGGCUGCUGUGGGAAUGCAAAAGAAAAAUGAGGUGAAGUCCAUUUGAAGAACCCCGUUUGAAGAUCCUGUAGUUAUCAGAAAUAAUCAAAUGCUGGAACUGGAACUGGAAGCCAUGUCAGUAUGAAUAGUACUAAAGCUAAUUGUCCUGCUGUGAUGCUGAGAUCAGCUGAUAUCUCCAUGGUGUUUAUGAGCUACUGCAUGCAACUGGCACUUUGCUUCGUUUCUUGGAAUAGAUUGAGGAUCUCUGCAGCGUAUGGCAGAAGGGUGGUCACAGCAUUGUUCUCUCUUUUGUAUAUAUUGAGCUGUUGACAACCAGAAGAUGCCAAUGCUUCUCUUGUUUCUGCCACUACUAGAGCUGGAAGUUUCAUUUUACCAUUCUGGCUUAUGUUUUGCAAGCACACAAAGAGGCAGACCAAAAGGCUCUUCUGAGCAUGUAAGACUUCAGUCCCCUAUAUUGUGUUGGGAUGAGCUUUGCUUUGGAUCCUUAGCCUCAAAUGCUAAGUAGCUAUAAACAACUUGCAAGCAGGGGCAUGAGAACUGCAUCCGCGCACGCUGGCAUCCUUGUCCUUUUGUCAUGUGGUAUUUGGAGCCUGCACCACAGCACCUUUGCCAGGCACACUGGCUGAGUGCUUGGGGCUCUGGGGCAGCCCACAAGGGACCUGCAGAGGUUUUGGUAGGUUACAGGUGAUCAAAUUUACAAGGGGAGGAAAAAAGAAGAAGCUAUCACUUGUUCAGAAGACUGUUACAGGAUUGGUGAUAAACAAAUCUCACAUGUUUUCUGCUCCAUUCUUUGGGUCAAGAAUACACUGGUUAAUAGCCAAUUAUUUCAUACCCUAAGGAAAUUUUGGGAAAGAAGUUCCUGGGGAGACUCAACUUGUUUUAGGAAAUCAGGCUAAUAUUCAGUAGGUGAGACAUUUCCCUUUGCUUUCCUUCUUAAUACUGUCCCAUGCCAGCACAAGGCUGAAUUUAUUGCUAUAAUAGGUAUUGUUCAGAUAGCGCAUAAUAGUUUCCCUGAUUUUAUUUUUCUUCUUCUCAAAAAGUGAAGGUUUAGCCAGGGCAUUGCAGCAAAAUUCCAGUUAGGUAAUUAAAUUCUGCUUAGUGAAAAUACCCCUUUUAAAAUCUGUCCCAGAAUAGAGUCUGCUUUUCCUGUGAGCACUUUAAAAGGACUGAUUCAUUUUAACUUCACAGCUAUCCAAAUUCUGAAGCCUGCUGAAAUUAGCCGUGACUGCCUAAACCAAAAUGUGCAGUUCCACUUGAGGUAUCAAAAGGUACAUUUUUGCAUGCUUCAUUGUUGUAUGAAUUCUUGUUUAGAUAUAAUUCACAUAGACUCAACCUAUGUAACAAAUCAUUCAGAUUCUGCUGACUGGCAGAAGUAAAUUAUUUGCACAGGAAAAGCAAACACUAUUUAAAACUAUAUUUUUAUUAACAUGUAGAGUAGGCUGUGAAUAAAUUCAGUUUGUGCAUCAGGGGCCAUUUUGCAUGUUCAAAAAUACGAUAGUGAAAAAAAUAAAGGCUGAAAGAUAGUCUGAGGUGUGCAGUCUGGAAAUGCAAUCCAGAACAGAUGUUCCACAGUAUAAAUUACUGCAAUUUUUUUUUUUUAAUUUACUUGUGCUACUUUAAUUUAUUAUUGUUUAUUCACUUGAUAGAUGGCAUUUAAUUUCACUGUGAGAGCUUCAGGAUGAGUGUUUGAUGCUGAUGGCUCAAAUUUAUUCCUGGGCAGAAAGCCAACGUGCCACAGCCAUGUUCCACUUAUGCCCUCCAAGCUACAUUUAAGUGGCCUUCUGUUGCCCUUGGGGUAUGUUUUACACAGGAAGCUUAAAGCCUUAUGCAGGCCUGCAGCUUACUCACUAGAGCGAGUGAAAGAUGGCUUUGCCUCUUCUGAUCUCUUCAGGAAGAAAAUCAAAUAAUUGGAUUACUGGCCCUUUGAUUGUGCUCUGUACAGAUGGUUCAAAAUCCCAUUGUAUUGGACCUCUGAGAUGAAAUGUAAAUUGAUAAAGAAAACAAAUGUUUUAAAUUGG